This 87-nucleotide transfer RNA is filed under the name Nitrospiraceae bacterium. RNAcentral describes it as "tRNA-Leu". It matches the Rfam family "tRNA". From Rfam's summary of the family: Transfer RNA (tRNA) molecules are approximately 80 nucleotides in length. Their secondary structure includes four short double-helical elements and three loops (D, anti-codon, and T loops). The record is from RNAcentral. Lineage: Bacteria; Pseudomonadati; Nitrospirota; Nitrospiria; Nitrospirales; Nitrospiraceae.
GCCGAAGUGGCGGAACUGGUAGACGCGCUAGGUUCAGGGUCUAGUGGGAGCAAUCCUGUAGGGGUUCGAAUCCCCUCUUCGGCACCA